UUAAGCGACUAAGCGUACACGGUGGAUGCCCUGGCAGUCAGAGGCGAUGAAGGGCGUGCUAAUCUGCGAUAAGCGCCGGUAAGGUGAUAUGAACCGUUAUAACCGGCGAUACCCGAAUGGGGAAACCCAGUGUGACUCGUCACACUAUCAUUAACUGAAUCCAUAGGUUAAUGAGGCGAACCGGGGGAACUGAAACAUCUAAGUACCCCGAGGAAAAGAAAUCAACCGAGAUUCCCCCAGUAGCGGCGAGCGAACGGGGAGGAGCCCAGAGCCUGAAUCAGCAUGUGUGUUAGUGGAAGCGUCUGGAAAGGCGCGCGAUACAGGGUGACAGCCCCGUACACAAAAGCGCAUGUGCUGUGAGCUCGAUGAGUAGGGCGGGACACGUGGUAUCCUGUCUGAAUAUGGGGGGACCAUCCUCCAAGGCUAAAUACUCCUGACUGACCGAUAGUGAACCAGUACCGUGAGGGAAAGGCGAAAAGAACCCCGGCGAGGGGAGUGAAAAAGAACCUGAAACCGUGUACGUACAAGCAGUGGGAGCCCCACCACCAAAGCAUUUGCUGUACCGCGUUGACGGAGCGAAGCGACGUCAAACCGAUAAAACAGCAGUGUAAAGUGAGCCGCAGGGCGCUUUGCGCGACAGCGCAAAGGCAGGCGGUUUCGCGUAGCGAAAGCGAAUGCUUUGGGGUGGGGUGACUGCGUACCUUUUGUAUAAUGGGUCAGCGACUUAUAUUCUGUAGCAAGGUUAACCGAAUAGGGGAGCCGGAGGGAAACCGAGUCUUAAUUGGGCGUUAAGUUGCAGGGUAUAGACCCGAAACCCGGUGAUCUAGCCAUGGGCAGGUUGAAGGUUGGGUAACACUAACUGGAGGACCGAACCGACUAAUGUUGAAAAAUUAGCGGAUGACCUGUGGCUGGGGGUGAAAGGCCAAUCAAACCGGGAGAUAGCUGGUUCUCCCCGAAAGCUAUUUAGGUAGCGCCUCGUGAAUUCAUCUCCGGGGGUAGAGCACUGUUUCGGCUAGGGGGCCAUCCCGGCUUACCAACCCGAUGCAAACUGCGAAUACCGGAGAAUGUUAUCACGGGAGACACACGGCGGGUGCUAACGUCCGUCGUGAAGAGGGAAACAACCCAGACCGCCAGCUAAGGUCCCAAAGUCAUGGUUAAGUGGGAAACGAUGUGGGAAGGCCCAGACAGCCAGGAUGUUGGCUUAGAAGCAGCCAUCAUUUAAAGAAAGCGUAAUAGCUCACUGGUCGAGUCGGCCUGCGCGGAAGAUGUAACGGGGCUAAACCAUGCACCGAAGCUGCGGCAGCGACACUGUGUGUUGUUGGGUAGGGGAGCGUUCUGUAAGCCUGCGAAGGUGGCCUGUGAGGGUUGCUGGAGGUAUCAGAAGUGCGAAUGCUGACAUAAGUAACGAUAAAGCGGGUGAAAAGCCCGCUCGCCGGAAGACCAAGGGUUCCUGUCCAACGUUAAUCGGGGCAGGGUGAGUCGACCCCUAAGGCGAGGCCGAAAGGCGUAGUCGAUGGGAAACGGGUUAAUAUUCCCGUACUUGGUGUUACUGCGAAGGGGGGACGGAGAAGGCUAUGUUGGCCGGGCGACGGUUGUCCCGGUUUAAGCGUGUAGGUGUGUGUUCCAGGUAAAUCCGGUUCACUUUAACACUGAGGCGUGACGACGAGGCACUACGGUGCUGAAGCAACAAAUGCCCUGCUUCCAGGAAAAGCCUCUAAGCAUCAGGUAACAUCAAAUCGUACCCCAAACCGACACAGGUGGUCAGGUAGAGAAUACCAAGGCGCUUGAGAGAACUCGGGUGAAGGAACUAGGCAAAAUGGUGCCGUAACUUCGGGAGAAGGCACGCUGACACGUAGGUGAAGUGAUUUACUCAUGGAGCUGAAGUCAGUCGAAGAUACCAGCUGGCUGCAACUGUUUAUUAAAAACACAGCACUGUGCAAACACGAAAGUGGACGUAUACGGUGUGACGCCUGCCCGGUGCCGGAAGGUUAAUUGAUGGGGUCAGCGCAAGCGAAGCUCCUGAUCGAAGCCCCGGUAAACGGCGGCCGUAACUAUAACGGUCCUAAGGUAGCGAAAUUCCUUGUCGGGUAAGUUCCGACCUGCACGAAUGGCGUAAUGAUGGCCAGGCUGUCUCCACCCGAGACUCAGUGAAAUUGAACUCGCUGUGAAGAUGCAGUGUACCCGCGGCAAGACGGAAAGACCCCGUGAACCUUUACUAUAGCUUGACACUGAACAUUGAGCCUUGAUGUGUAGGAUAGGUGGGAGGCUUUGAAGUGUGGACGCCAGUCUGCAUGGAGCCGACCUUGAAAUACCACCCUUUAAUGUUUGAUGUUCUAACGUGGACCCGUUACCCGGGUUGCGGACAGUGUCUGGUGGGUAGUUUGACUGGGGCGGUCUCCUCCUAAAGAGUAACGGAGGAGCACGAAGGUUGGCUAAUCCUGGUCGGACAUCAGGAGGUUAGUGCAAUGGCAUAAGCCAGCUUGACUGCGAGCGUGACGGCGCGAGCAGGUGCGAAAGCAGGUCAUAGUGAUCCGGUGGUUCUGAAUGGAAGGGCCAUCGCUCAACGGAUAAAAGGUACUCCGGGGAUAACAGGCUGAUACCGCCCAAGAGUUCAUAUCGACGGCGGUGUUUGGCACCUCGAUGUCGGCUCAUCACAUCCUGGGGCUGAAGUAGGUCCCAAGGGUAUGGCUGUUCGCCAUUUAAAGUGGUACGCGAGCUGGGUUUAGAACGUCGUGAGACAGUUCGGUCCCUAUCUGCCGUGGGCGCUGGAGAACUGAGGGGGGCUGCUCCUAGUACGAGAGGACCGGAGUGGACGCAUCACUGGUGUUCGGGUUGUCAUGCCAAUGGCACUGCCCGGUAGCUAAAUGCGGAAGAGAUAAGUGCUGAAAGCAUCUAAGCACGAAACUUGCCCCGAGAUGAGUUCUCCCUGAGACUUAGAGUCUCCUGAAGGAACGUUGAAGACGACGACGUUGAUAGGCCGGGUGUGUAAGCGCAGCGAUGCGUUGAGCUAACCGGUACUAAUGAACCGUGAGGCUUAACCUU
RNAcentral lists this ribosomal RNA (3042 nucleotides) under Salmonella enterica. Its description in RNAcentral is "bacterial LSU rRNA". It matches the Rfam family "Bacterial large subunit ribosomal RNA". The record is from RNAcentral. Lineage: Bacteria; Pseudomonadati; Pseudomonadota; Gammaproteobacteria; Enterobacterales; Enterobacteriaceae.